This 253-nucleotide ribosomal RNA is filed under the name uncultured bacterium. Its description in RNAcentral is "partial 16S ribosomal RNA". It matches the Rfam family "Bacterial small subunit ribosomal RNA", at positions 524 to 776 of the family's 1533-position model. The record is from RNAcentral.
UACGGAGGGUGCUAGCGUUAAUCAGAAUUACUGGGCGUAAAGAGCACGUAGGUGGUUUGUUGAGUCAGAUGUGAAAUCCCUGGGCUUAACCUAGGAACUGCAUUUGAAACUGGCAAGCUAGAGUAUCAUAGAGGGAGGUAGAAUUCUAGGUGUAGCGGUGAAAUGCGUAGAUAUCUAGAGGAAUACCUGUGGCGAAAGCGACCUCCUAAAUGAAUACUGACGCUGAGGUGCGAAAGCGUGGGGAGCAAACAGG